GGCUUAAUUUGGUUGAACCUAGCGGGUUUUUUACACAUGACACCGUCGAACGGCAGCGCGAGAGAGCUUGCUCUCUUGGCGGCGAGUGGCGGACGGGUGAGUAAUAUAUCGGAACGUGCCCAGUAGCGGGGGAUAACUACUCGAAAGAGUGGCUAAUACCGCAUACGCCCUACGGGGGAAAGGGGGGGAUCGCAAGACCUCUCACUAUUGGAGCGGCCGAUAUCGGAUUAGCUAGUUGGUGGGGUAAAGGUUUUUCAAGGCAACNAUCCGUAGCUGGUU
RNAcentral lists this ribosomal RNA (279 nucleotides) under uncultured bacterium. RNAcentral's name for it is "partial 16S ribosomal RNA". The stretch from base 45 to 279 matches the Rfam family "Bacterial small subunit ribosomal RNA", at positions 61 to 292 of the family's 1533-position model. The record is from RNAcentral.